CCUACGGGAGGCAGCAGUGGGGGAUAUUGCACAAUGGGGGGAACCCUGAUGCAGCGACGCCGCGUGGGUGAAGAAGCGCCUCGGCGCGUAAAGCCCUGUCAGCAGGGAAGAAAAUGACGGUACCUGAAGAAGAAGCCCCGGCUAAAUACGUGCCAGCAGCCGCGGUAAUACGUAGGGGGCAAGCGUUAUCCGGAUUUACUGGGUGUAAAGGGGGCGCAGACGGCGAUGCAAGCCAGGAGUGAAAGCCCGGGGCCCAACCCCGGGACUGCUCUUGGAACGGCGUGGCUGGAGUGCAGGAGGGGAAGGGGGAAUUCCUGGUGUAGCGGUGAAAGGAGUAGAUAUCAGGAGGAACACCGGUGGCGAAGGCGGCCUGCGGGACUGCAACUGACGUGGAGCACGAAAGCGUGGGGAGCGAACAGGAUUAGUUACCCGUGUAGUC
RNAcentral lists this ribosomal RNA (439 nucleotides) under uncultured bacterium. Its description in RNAcentral is "partial 16S ribosomal RNA". It matches the Rfam family "Bacterial small subunit ribosomal RNA", at positions 338 to 795 of the family's 1533-position model. The record is from RNAcentral.